This 253-nucleotide ribosomal RNA is filed under the name uncultured bacterium. RNAcentral describes it as "partial 16S ribosomal RNA". It matches the Rfam family "Bacterial small subunit ribosomal RNA", at positions 524 to 776 of the family's 1533-position model. The record is from RNAcentral.
UACGUAGGGACCGAGCGUUGUCCGGAUUCAUUGGGCGUAAAGAGCUCGUAGGCGGCCACUCAAGUCGAAUGUGAAACCUCGAGGCUUAACCUCGAGCCUGCAUUUGAUACUGGGCGGCUAGAGUCUGGUAGGGGGAUCUGGAAUUCCUGGUGUAGCGGUGGAAUGCGCAGAUAUCAGGAGGAACACCAGUGGCGAAGGCGACACACUGGCCCGUAACUGACGCUGAGGCGCGAAAGCGUGGGGAGCAAACAGG